GGCAUGGUGGCUUAGUGGAUUUCACAUUUGUCUCGCACGUCCAGGGUUGGGGGUUCAAAUCUCGCCUCUGCCC
Molecule: non-coding RNA, 73 nt
Organism: Ameiurus melas (black bullhead)
Lineage: Eukaryota; Metazoa; Chordata; Actinopteri; Siluriformes; Ictaluridae
Source: the annotation of a GenBank genome assembly